CUUUUUCAGAUUUUGUAAGCAAAAAGCAUAGAGUUGGAUGAUGCGUGGCAUGUGGACCUUCCAAGGAGCUCAGAAGGAAAACACAGAGCGCCCUCGUUAAUUUGGAUUCCACUGACUUUGAAUUGGGGAUAAUUUGGACACAUUGUAAAUGAGAAGUUGUUGGCAUUAUUUUUGAAGAAAUGCACUGCUUUCAAAUUUUGCCAGGUUAGUUUUAUGUCUGAAAUGAGGACAUAAGAUAGGAGGUUAGAAAGAACAGAGAAGUCCUACAUCUUUGAGGGAGAGUGAGGCUCAUUUCAAGCUUGGACGUGCACACAUCAGGCGCUGUGCCAGAGCUAAAUCCCCAGCCCUUUAAAGCCUUAAUCUUGACAAGGGUUUUUGUGGAGUUGCUGUGACCCCUUGAAUCGGGACCAAAUGAAGCCUCCCCUCCGCUUACCUCGCUGUCGCUGCCCGGGAACCUGUCCUCCCCGCACCGGAGCGGAUGUGGUGGAAGCAGCUGGUGGCGUACUCGGUCCACUCAUCAUCCCUGGGAAGGCUGGAGGCAGCGUUGGAGAAGGAGCGGAACACCGACAGCUUGCAGGCUAUUUUCCUACAGCGUCUUUUUCAGGGGCUGCACCUCUUUGUUCUGGCGGCAGGGGCGGGGUGGGAGGUGGGUCUUCCUUUUGGAGAAGGCAGCUGAGACCGACUGCUUCUUUAAGAAAUUUUCCAGUCCCAAUAGUGGGACGACCUGAAAGUUCUUAGCAGGCUGCCUCGGCAUUUGGGAGCAGCACCUGGAGAGCUCUGGGUGCAACCUCUUGUUUCCCAGUUGUUUUGCCUUUGAUUCUUUUAACGGCUGCUUCAGCAGGAAGAAUGUCCCAUUGUCCGAAGAGGGAGUUCCAUCAAGUGCAAACACACCUGUUUUGGAUUCUUAAGAUUCACACCACUGGCCUGUGAAAUAUUAUGAGGGGCCCUGUUAUGAUUUGUGUCUAGAUGUCCCGCAAAGCCUCAUACAGUCAUGGGGCGGGCUUCUAAACUUUGUGAUUGAUUCCCGGUCCAAUGCUAGGAUUAUGGGUGUGAGUGCUACACCCCUCCUGGGGCGGGGAGCCUGCAUAGAAUACAAGGGAGGGAGGGAGGCUUGCUCUCUGCUGCUCCUUCCUUUUUGCUGUUGCUGCUUUUCCUGUUUUC
Molecule: long non-coding RNA, 1161 nt
Organism: Chinchilla lanigera (long-tailed chinchilla)
Lineage: Eukaryota; Metazoa; Chordata; Mammalia; Rodentia; Chinchillidae
Exons: 3
Source: RefSeq, a predicted model, not a curated record